RNAcentral lists this ribosomal RNA (422 nucleotides) under uncultured bacterium. RNAcentral describes it as "bacterial SSU rRNA". It matches the Rfam family "Bacterial small subunit ribosomal RNA", at positions 29 to 487 of the family's 1533-position model. The record is from RNAcentral.
AACGAACGCUGGCGGCAUGCCUAACACAUGCAAGUCGAACGGGAUCUUGACUUCGGUCAGGUGAGAGUGGCGGACGGGUGAGUAACACGUGGGAACCUGCCUUUUGGUUCGGGAUAACCGCGGGAAACUGCGGCUAAUACCGGAUACUCCCGAGAGGGGAAAGAUUUAUCGCCAGAAGAGGGGCCCGCGUCCGAUUAGGUAGUUGGUGGGGUAAUGGCCUACCAAGCCGACGAUCGGUAGCUGGUCUGAGAGGAUGAUCAGCCACACUGGGACUGAGAUACGGCCCAGACUCCUACGGGAGGCAGCAGUGGGGAAUAUUGGACAAGUGGGGGCAACCCUGAUCCAGCAAUGCCGCGUGAGUGAUGAAGGCCUUAGGGUUGUAAAGCACUUUUGCCGGGAAGAUAAUGACUGUACCGAAGAAU